AUAGUACCACUAAUCAGGAGGUCUAGAAGGAGUCAUAGUACCACUAAUCAGGAGGUCUAGAAGGAGUCAUAGUACCACUAAUCAGGAGGUCUAGAAGGAGUCAUAGUACCACUAAUCAGGAGGUCUAGAAGGAGUCAUAGUUCCACUAAUCAGGAGGUCUAGAAGGAGUCAUAGUACCACUAAUCAGGAGGUCUAGAAGGAGUCAUAGUACCACUAAUCAGGAGGUCUAGAAGGAGUCAUAGUUCCACUAAUCAGGAGGUCUAGAAGGAGUCAUAGUUCCACUAAUCAGGAGGUCUAGAAGGAGUCAUAGUAGCACUAAUCAGGAGGUCUAGAAGGAGUCAUAGUUCCACUAAUCAGGAGGUCUAGAAGGAGUCAUAGUUCCACUAAUCAGGAGGUCUAAAAGGAGUCAUAGUAGCACUAAUCAGGAGGUCUAGAAGGAGUCAUAGUUCCACUAAUCAGGAGGUCUAGAAGGAGUCAUAGUAGCACUAAUCAGGAGGUCUAGAAGGAGUCAUAGUUCCACUAAUCAGGAGGUCUAGAAGGAGUCAUAG
Acanthochromis polyacanthus (spiny chromis) is the source of this 548-nucleotide long non-coding RNA. RefSeq lists it as uncharacterized. The transcript is spliced from 5 exons. Lineage: Eukaryota; Metazoa; Chordata; Actinopteri; Pomacentridae. The record is from RefSeq and is a predicted model, not a curated record.